Molecule: ribosomal RNA, 1727 nt
Filed under: Parasudis truculenta (longnose greeneye)
Lineage: Eukaryota; Metazoa; Chordata; Actinopteri; Aulopiformes; Chlorophthalmidae
Description: 16S rRNA
Rfam family: Bacterial large subunit ribosomal RNA
Source: RNAcentral
ACCCAACAGCUAGCCCACCCAACUAUAGAACCCCCCCCCCCCUAUUACCCACCUUUUCACUAAAACCAAUACAAACCAAACCAUUUUUCCUCCUUAGUACGGGCGACGGAAAAGGAGAACACAGGAGCAACAGACGAAGUACCGUAAGGGAACGCUGAAAAAGAAAUGAAAUAACCCCCUACAAGCCCAGCAAAGCAGAGCCUAACCCUCGUACCUUUUGCAUCAUGAUUAAGCCAGUACACUGAAGCGAAGUGUCCUUUAGUUUUCUACCCCGAAACUAGACGAGCUACUCCGAGACAGCCUAUUGAAGGGCCAACCCGUCUCUGUGGCAAAAGAGUGGGAAGAACUCCGAGUAGAGGUGACAGACCUACCGAGCCUAGUAAUAGCUGGUUGCCUGGGAAAUGGAUAGAAGUUCAGCCCUCCGACUUGCCCCACCCCGACUGCACCAAACAGGGCCCCGGGGCCCAGACGAAGGCGUUAGUCAAAGAAGGUUCAGCUUCUUUGAAUAAAGGUACAACUUUUUAAGGAGGUUUAAGAUCAUAGACAAACAAGGAACAAUUAUUUUAGUGGGCCUGAAGGCAGCCAUCUUCAAAGAAAGCGUUAAAGCUUAUACAAAAUUUUGCCCUUCAAUUACGAUAAAAUUAUCUUAUCCCCCUGAAUUUACCAGGCCACUUCAUGCCCCCAUGAAAGAGACCAUGCUUAAAUGAGUAAUAAGAGGGCCCGACCCUCUCCCUGCACAUGUGUAAAUCGGAUCGGACCCCCCACCGAUAUUUAACGGCCCCAACCGCAUAGAGGGAAUUGAACAUCAACCCAAUGACAAACCAGAAAAACACUCAACUAAACUAAACCGUUGACCCCACACAGGAGUGCCUCCCCGGGAAAGACAAAAGAAUGAGGAAGGAACUCGGCAAAUACAAGCUUCGCCUGUUUACCAAAAACAUCGCCUCUUGCGAGCAAAAGAAUAAGAGGUCCAGCCUGCCCGGUGACUUUCACGUUUAACGGCCGCGGUAUUUUAACCGUGCGAAGGUAGCGCAAUCACUUGUCCUUUAAAUGAGGACCUGUAUGAAUGGACUGACGAGAGCUUAACUGUCUCCCUCAUUUAGUCAAUGAAAUUGAUCUCCCCGUGCAGAAGCGGGGAUAACACCAUAAGACGAGAAGACCCUAUGGAGCUUUAAACAAUCAAGCGGCCCACAGACUACAGCUCUCGUCCCAUAAUAAAAAUGAGCUGACCUCUACCUGGACGUACCGCUUUAUGUUUUUGGUUGGGGCGACCGUGGAGAAAAGAAAAACCCCCAUGAGGACCGGGGACCCACCCCUCUUUCCCUAUAGCCUAGAGCCUACUGCCCAAAGCAUCAGAACCUCUGACCCUAAUGAUCCGGCCCACCAGCCGAUCAACGAACCCAGUUACCCUAGGGAUAACAGCGCAAUCUCCUCUCAGAGCCCCUAUCGACGAGGAGGUUUACGACCUCGAUGUUGGAUCAGGACAUCCUAAUGGUGCAACCGCUAUUAAGGGUUCGUUUGUUCAACGAUUAACAGUCCUACGUGAUCUGAGUUCAGACCGGAGUAAUCCAGGUCAGUUUCUAUCUAUGACUUGCUCUUUUCUAGUACGAAAGGACCGAGAAGGAAGGGCCCAUACCCCUCGCACGCCCUACCCGUAUUUGAAGAAUUCAACUAAAGCAAACGAAAAGGCAAACCAUAUUUUAAUCCCCGCUGAAGAUAACGGCAGU